UACGUAGGGUGCAAGCGUUGUCCGGAUUUAUUGGGCGUAAAGAGCUCGUAGGCGGUUCGUCGCGUCGGAUGUGAAAACCCAGGGCUCAACCCUGGGCCUGCAUUCGAUACGGGCAGACUAGAGUAUGGCAGGGGAGACUGGAAUUCCUGGUGUAGGCGGUGAAAUGACGCAGAUAUCAGGAGGAACACCGGUGGCGAAGGCGGGUCUCUGGGCCAAAACUGACGCUGAGGAGCGAAAGCGUGGGGAGCGAACAGG
This 255-nucleotide ribosomal RNA is filed under the name uncultured bacterium. RNAcentral's name for it is "partial 16S ribosomal RNA". It matches the Rfam family "Bacterial small subunit ribosomal RNA", at positions 524 to 776 of the family's 1533-position model. The record is from RNAcentral.